AGAGUACCGCGGGACACGAGAAACCCCGUGGGAAGCAGGGGGGACCACCCUCCAAGGCAAAACACAGAUAUCGACCGAUAGCGCAUAGUACCAUGAGGGAAAGGUGAAAAGCACCCCGGGAGGGGAAUGAAACAGAACCUGAAACCGUAUGUUUACAAGCAGUCGGAGACCGUAUAUAUAUCAGGUCGACGGCGUGCCUAUUGAAGAAUGAACCGGCGAGUUAUGAGGUCCAGCGAGGUUAAGCAGGAAAUGCGGAGCCGAAGCGAAAGCGAGUCUUAACAGGGCGAAUAGUUGGACUGCAUAGACCCGAAACCACAGUGAUCUACCCAUGUCCAGGUUGAAGCACAGGUAAAAAUGUGUGGAGGACCGAACCUAUAUCCGUUGAAAAGGGUUAGGAUGAGGUGUGGGUAGGGGUGAAAUUCCAAUCGAACGUGGAGAUAGCUGGUUCUCCCCGAAAUAGCUUUAGGGCUAGCCUCAUGGCGAGAGUACAGGCGGUAGAGCACUGAACGGGGUAGGGGCCUAUCCGGCUACUGAACCUAAUCAAACUGCGAAUGGCUGUACUUAUCCAUGGGAGUCAGACUGUGAGUAAUAAGGCCCAUAGUCAAGAGGGAAACAGCCCAGACCAACAGCUAAGGUCCCCAAUGCCGUACUAAGUGGCGAAGGAUGUGGAAUUUCAAAAACAACCAGGAUGUUGGCUCAGAAGCAGCCACCAUUAAAAGAGUGCGUAAUAGCUCACUGGUCGAGAGACUCUGCGCCGAAGAUGUCCGGGGCUAAAGUACGGAACCGAAGCUUUGGCAAUUAACAUAAGUUAAUUGGGUAGGGGAGCGUUCCUGCAUGGGAGAAGCCUGACCGGAAGGACAGGUGGACAGGCAGGAAGAGAGAAUGCCGGUAUGAGUAGCGAAAAGAAGGGUGAGAAUCCCUUCCACCGAAAGCCUAAGGGUUCCUGGGCAACGAUCGUCGUCCCAGGGUAAGUCGGGACCUAAUCCGAGGCGGAGACGCGUAGGAGAUGGACAACAGGUUGAAAUUCCUGUACUGGCUGAGGCCGUUUGAGCGAAGGAGUGACACAGGAAGGAAGGCGCGCGUGCGAAUGGAAGAGCACGUCCAAGCAGGUAGGUCGGGAGACAGGCAAAUCCGUUUCCCAUAAGGCCGAGAUGCGAUGGGGAGCUUCUGGAGACAGAAGCGAAGGGGCUGGCACUAAACUGUCGAGAAAAGCUUCUAGUGAGGACUCAGGCACCCGUACCGAAACCGACACAGGUAGGCAGGAUGAGAAUUCUAAGGUGCGCGGGAAAACCCUCGUUAAGGAACUCGGCAAAAUAUAUCCGUAACUUCGGGAAAAGGAUAACCCAGCGUACGUGAAGUGCAGAAACGCAUGGAGCGGAGAUGGGUGGCAGAAGAGAGGCCCAAGCGACUGUUUACCACAAACACAGGCGUCUGCUAAAGCGAAAGCUGAUGUAUAGAUGCUGACACCUGCCCGGUGCUGGAAGGUUAAGAGGAAGUGUUAGCGCAAGCGAAGCAGUGAAUUGAAGCCCCAGUAAACGGCGGCCGUAACUAUAACGGUCCUAAGGUAGCGAAAUUCCUUGUCGGGUAAGUUCCGACCCGCACGAAAGGUGUAACGAUUUGGGCACUGUCUCAACGAGGGACCCGGUGAAAUUGAAAUACCUGUGAAGAUGCAGGUUACCCGCGACUGGACAGAAAGACCCCAUGGAGCUUUACUGCAGCUUGAGAUUGAAUCCCGGUGGCAGACGCACAGGAUAGGUGGGAGGCUUUGAGAUAGUGACUUUGGUUGCUAUGGAGCCGACGUUGGGAUACCACCCUUCUGUUGCUGGGAUUCUAACGCGAAGAUUAACAACCUUGCGGACCAUCUCAGGUAGGCGGUUUGACUGGGGCGGUCGCCUCCGAAAGAGUAACGGAGGCGCCCAAAGGUUCCCUCAGGCCGGACAGAAACCGGCCGAAGAGUGCAAAGGCAGAAGGGAGCUUGACUGCGAGACAGACAAGUCGAGCAGAGACGAAAGUCGGGCUUAGUGAUCCGGUGGUACUGCGUGGAAAGGCCAUCGCUCAACGGAUAAAAGCUACCCUGGGGAUAACAGGCUAAUCUCUCCCAAGAGUUCAUAUCGACGGGGAGGUUUGGCACCUCGAUGUCGGCUCAUCACAUCCUGGGGCUGAAGU
RNAcentral lists this ribosomal RNA (2166 nucleotides) under human gut metagenome. RNAcentral's name for it is "bacterial LSU rRNA". It matches the Rfam family "Bacterial large subunit ribosomal RNA", at positions 409 to 2559 of the family's 2925-position model. The record is from RNAcentral.